UGAGGGGGAUAUUUGGCACAAUGGGCGCAAGCCUGAUGCAGCAACGCCGCGUGAGGGAUGACGGUUUUCGGAUUGUAAACCUCUGUCCUUAGUGACGAAUAAAUGACGGUAGCUAUGGAGGAAGCCACGGCUAACUACGUGCCAGCAGCCGCGGUAAUACGUAGGUGGCAAGCGUUGUCCGGAAUUACUGGGUGUAAAGGGAGCGCAGGCGGGAUAGCAAGUCAGCGGUGAAAUGUAUGGGCUUAACCCAUGAACUGCCGUUGAAACUGUUGUUCUUGAGUGGAGUAGAGGUAAGCGGAAUUCCGAGUGUAGCGGUGAAAUGCUUAGAUA
RNAcentral lists this ribosomal RNA (330 nucleotides) under uncultured Eubacterium sp. Its description in RNAcentral is "bacterial SSU rRNA". It matches the Rfam family "Bacterial small subunit ribosomal RNA", at positions 351 to 696 of the family's 1533-position model. Lineage: Bacteria; Bacillati; Bacillota; Clostridia; Eubacteriales; Eubacteriaceae. The record is from RNAcentral.